This 126-nucleotide small RNA is filed under the name Marmota monax (woodchuck). The record is from RNAcentral. Lineage: Eukaryota; Metazoa; Chordata; Mammalia; Rodentia; Sciuridae.
GCCGGGUGUGGUGGUGCUCGCCUGUAAUCCCAGUGGCUGGGGAGGCUGAGGCAGGAGGAUCAUGAGUUCAAAGCCAGUCUCAGCAAUUUAGUGAGGCCCUAAGCAACUCAUGAGAUCCUGUCUCUA